This 407-nucleotide ribosomal RNA is filed under the name uncultured bacterium. Its description in RNAcentral is "partial 16S ribosomal RNA". It matches the Rfam family "Bacterial small subunit ribosomal RNA", at positions 30 to 526 of the family's 1533-position model. The record is from RNAcentral.
AUUGAACGCUGGCGGCAGGCCUAACACAUGCAAGUCGAGCGGAGCGGCGGACGGGUGCGUAAUGCAUAGGAAUCUGCCUGGUAGUGGGGGCUAAAGUCCGGAAACGGGAGCUAAUACAGCAUACUAUCAGAUGAGACUAGGUAGGAUUAGAUAGUGGGUGGGGUAAAGGCCUACAAAGGGGACGAUCCGUCACUGGUCUGAGAUGAUGAUCAGGCACACUGGAACUGAGACACGGUCCAGACUCCUACGGGAGUCAGCAGUGGGGAAUAUUGGACAAUGGGCGAAAGCCUGAUCCAGCCAUGCCGCGUGUGUGAAGAAGGUCUUCGGAUUGUAAAGCACUUUAAGUUGGGAGGCGUUACCAACAGAAUAAGCACCGGCUAACUUCGUGCCAGCAGCCGCGGUAAUUC